This 283-nucleotide long non-coding RNA is filed under the name Panax ginseng (ginseng). RNAcentral describes it as "long non-coding RNA (PGIN_LNC005792)". Lineage: Eukaryota; Viridiplantae; Streptophyta; Magnoliopsida; Apiales; Araliaceae. The record is from RNAcentral.
AAUAUUCUAAAAAUAAUUGAUCGAAAAUAAAAAUCACAGACGAAAUAAAAAAAAUACAACUUACUGGCACCAGAUCACAGAUUCAUAGUACUGAAACGUCUUGAUUAAUAGAUCGACAAAAUCAAUUAUAAAUUACAGAAACUAGAACAGAACGAGAUCAGGGGUAGAGAGAGAAGAAGGGACAUAAGAGUCUCGUCUUCGUUGGUCGCAGGGUUAGAGAUAGGAUUUUGGAAGGACUGGUACAGUAGCUAGUGUAAAGCCAAGACAAAGAGAGGAUUUAGAG